This 443-nucleotide unclassified non-coding RNA is filed under the name uncultured Candida. RNAcentral describes it as "sequence contains ITS1". Lineage: Eukaryota; Fungi; Ascomycota; Saccharomycetes; Saccharomycetales. The record is from RNAcentral.
GAGAACCAAGAGAUCCAUUGUUGAAAGUUUUGAAGUUGUUUUCUACUAAAAGAAAUCUUGUGUUGACUGAAUUAGUUUAAAAAAAUAUUUGUUUGUGUUUGCAUCCACUGGGAGAACUCCCUCCCGAAAGAGAGCGUUCCCCCAACGAACAAAAGAAUAGUAGUAAAGUAAACUCCACUGUGUGUAGUAAUUAGAAAGUGUCGAGUCGUGUGAUAAAACACCUCCUUUGGAAUAGAGAGAUCCACGCACACUCCCAGGUCUUUGUCGGCUCCCUCCCCCCACUGCAKAACACCCACCAACCGCGCACUUAAGCGCAGGCRGGAGAAAUAGCAUUCACAGCAGAGAAAAUAUUUUAGGAGCCUCCUGAKUGUCUAYWCUGGUCCUCCCCAGAGAUGUCUCUCUCCGAGCUCARACAAAUCAAUUAAAUUUCUUUAAUGAUCCUU